UAAUUAGCGUGUCGCACUGAGGUGUUGGAUGGAAUCAGAGGGCAUCAUGGGAGCUGGCUGAUUGGCAGAUGACCUAAUUUAACAGGGAAGUAGAAAAGGAACAUGAGGUCGAAAAAAGAAGAAAAAAAAGCUUUUCUUUCCAUACAUUUUACAACUUGUAUGUGAAGAUGCCACAUGUUAAACAUGGUUUGACACGUUCACGCCGUAGUGUUUACUUUUGACUGGUUAUUUUCACUUUACCUUUUAUUUUGUUUCAAUUUUAUAGAACUAUGUAACUUUGUUUUGAAAGGUGCUAUAUAAAUAAAUUAUCACUAAUUUGAAGAAACUGCAACUGAAAAAAGUAUUUUUCUUCAUACUCUGGCAUUUGGCAGACAAACCGAUAAAUCACUUAUACAAAGAGUUGGAUCCAUAUAUUGUGUAGAAUAAUAACAAAUAACCUGAGCCGUUUUAGCAGUAAAUGAAAGAAAUACAAUAUGUGCGUGACUAAGGAAGCCUCGUGAGUAAAGAUUGUGCCUCAUUGGUCACAUUUUCUUUUCACUGUAGCGCUCUUUCAGGAAAUACAGGACUAACCGGGGAAGAGGAAUUCUGUCCUCCGGUGGAUUAAAGUUGUCCCAGAUUAGUGAUCUUUUAAUGUAAACCAUGACCUACAGCUAUUCAAAAGUAGGCAUGACUAACAGGACACAACAGCUUCCAUGAAAAUGGAAAAAGGAGCAUUAAACGGUUCAUACACACCGGUGUUGCCACUAAGCUUGUCACAAAGGUAAAAUACGAGAACUUUCCCGGACGAGGAAGAACAGAGGAGAUGCAUUUUUUUUUUGGCAGGAUUAAAAAAAAAAACGCACCCCGUUUUUUGUCUUUGCCAAGAGACCAGUGAGGCAUCUAAGGCUGUUUGUCAUCUUUUUUUUAUUGUUUGUUCAUUCUGGACGUUUUCAGAAAGAAAAAGAUUAGGAGGUGUCGUUUUUUAGUACAUGUUUUACUUGUCCCGCUUACUUGGGUUGGAAAACGGCCCAUGAACCAAAAUGAAAGGUCUGAGAAAGGAUUCCUCUUCCAGGGCGACACAAGCUUGUGAUUUGUGCGUGCGUAUUUAUACAGACAGAAGUAGAGGCUGGAAUUUGAUAUUUUUUUGGGAUGCACACACUGACCCUGACCCUCCUCAUUGGUGAGAACCGUGACCUACAAAACCAGUGAGCUUUGAAGUACUGGCCUUGUCCUGAGUGAUGAAAGUGGGCAGACGGGACGGCCACUGUAGGCCAUGGCAGAGAUUAGGGGUUGUUUAGUUAGCGGUUCUAACACUGGAGCCCAGUUUGCAGCCAUGACGCCUGUUGUGUUUGCAGAGACACCCAGUUGGAUUAGCUUGAUAAAGUGGAAGUAAAUCAAAAGAGCAUCCAAAGCAGUGUGACUGGGCAAGUACAAAAGAGGAGACGAGUGGCUACUAGAGUACCAUCGGACAGAGUUCGAUGGAUGGGGCGGGAGAAAAUGCAUUUCACAAUCAUCAUUUUUUUCUUUUAAGUUAACAGGUCAUAGUCCUAAUGCAUGGACCAAAAAAAGGAAGAUAUUGC
Gasterosteus aculeatus aculeatus (three-spined stickleback) is the source of this 1559-nucleotide long non-coding RNA. Lineage: Eukaryota; Metazoa; Chordata; Actinopteri; Perciformes; Gasterosteidae. The record is from Ensembl.